GGUUAAGCGACUAAGCGUACACGUGGAUGCCUAGGCAAUCAGAGGCGAUGAAGGACGUGCUAAUCUGCGAUAAGCGUCGGUAAGGUGAUAUGAACCGUUACAACCGACGAUUUCCGAAU
RNAcentral lists this ribosomal RNA (119 nucleotides) under Providencia rettgeri. RNAcentral describes it as "partial 23S ribosomal RNA". It matches the Rfam family "Bacterial large subunit ribosomal RNA", at positions 1 to 119 of the family's 2925-position model. Lineage: Bacteria; Pseudomonadati; Pseudomonadota; Gammaproteobacteria; Enterobacterales; Morganellaceae. The record is from RNAcentral.